Molecule: long non-coding RNA, 1619 nt
Filed under: Setaria viridis
Lineage: Eukaryota; Viridiplantae; Streptophyta; Magnoliopsida; Poales; Poaceae
Description: long non-coding RNA (SVIR_LNC000109)
Source: RNAcentral
CAUUUUUCGUGUGUUUCCUGUGCUAUACUUCGAUCUGCUACGACGCUCGACCGUCGCCGGCCGAUCGGAUCACCCGCCGUGAUGAUGUUCUUCCGGUCCGCGCCAUGCGCGGAUGCGAGGUGUAGACUCGUCUUUCGAUCGCCGUGCAGAGCUGCAGACCUCCUCCGUGUCCAUUGUUCUCGCAAUUCUUGCUGGAACAGUGAGUGAACGGAGGCGGCGGCGGCAGUAGCAGCAGUGGGGAGGAGGCCAAGCCCAGUUGGCCACCAUGGCUGCAAGAAAUUUGAGCAACCAAGAAUCUCUUGUGAUGGUGUCGCGAAUUUGUUUCGCUAGUUUAAUCCUUGGUCGGCGAGAGCUCGAGGAUGCGGCCGGAGAGCGCGGUGACGAGGGCCGCCUUGAAGCUUGGGUCCCGCGUCAGCGUCAUGGCCAUCUGCUCCGCCAGGUUGCGCCGGAUCAGCUCCGACGCCGCGACGGCGUCUUGCUGCGGCUGCUGCUUCUGCUGGUGGUGGUGGAGCAGCUGCUGCGGGUGGUCAGGCGACUGAGGCGCCGCCGCCGGGGCAGCGGGCCUCGGCGGCGACGGCGGCUUCGCGGCGGCGUUCUUGGCGUCGUGCGGCUGCUGCUGCGACGACGGCGCCGGCGGGGGCUGGCCGUGGUUGUGCUCGCCCUCGUACGUGGCCACGAGGAUGGUGUUGUCGUCGGCGCUCCGCUGCACCUUCUUCUUGACGGGGCACGCCGGCGCGAAGGAGCACCGGAAGUAGGCCCGCGGGCAGGGGUUGUCCUUGGUCACCUUCUGCCCGUACUUGCGCCACUGGUAGCCGUCCUUCACCACCAGGCUCAGGUCCGACGGGUCCGCGUGCACGUACAGCUUCGACACCUUGGGCUUGCACUCCUCCCGGAUGCGCUUGCACGGCUCGCCGGAGGUGCACUCCAUCUGGUCUGCCAGGCCCGGCUGCUGCUGGCCGCCGUUCUGCAGGCCGUGCUGCGGCGGGUGCUGCGCCUGCGCGCCCGGCGCCGCCGCGGUGUCGAGGCUCUCGCUCGUCUUGCGCUUCCUGGACGGGGAGACCGAUCCGCCCUCCGACGUGGACGACGGGUUGUUGGUCACGCCGGCGGCGACCAUCCCCGUGUACUGGCUCCGCAGCGCCUCGUACUUGGCCGCCACCGCCGUGAGCGCCUCGGCCAGGCGCCGGUUCUCCUCGCCCAUCCGCUGGAGCUCCGUCUCGAGGGCCGCGACCUGCGCGUUUCAAGGAUCCAUUAGACUCGUAGCUCAUCAAACACCGAGCUGCUACUAGAAUCAAUCGAUCGAUCGAUCAGCCACGCCAUCGAUCGGGGGUCGUGUUUAUACCUCUGGUUCUUUCUUGAGAGGCUGCAGGAAGUUCUCCUCGACGAGCACCUUGGGCUUGGCCAUGGCGACCGGCGCCUGGUGGCGGCUGAGCGGCGGCAGGCCGACGUGAAGGUCAAGGCUCAGGGAAGGCUGGCUGCCGAUCCAUGGAUCCAUCUGCCGAUUACUAAUCCCCUUCGAUGUCUCAGAGCAGGUCAACAAGGCUGCAGAGCGCUCGAUGUAGAAGGAGACAGGAGAACGAGGGAGGAGCUGGAGGAGUAGGAAGAAUGCCUGAGCGUGGGAG